RNAcentral lists this ribosomal RNA (119 nucleotides) under Betta splendens (Siamese fighting fish). Lineage: Eukaryota; Metazoa; Chordata; Actinopteri; Anabantiformes; Osphronemidae. The record is from RNAcentral.
GCUUACGGCCAUGCCACCCUGAGCACGCCCGAUCUUGUCUGAUCUCGGAAGCUAAGCAGGGUCGGGCCUGGUUAGUACUUGGAUGGGAGACCGCCUGGGAAUACCAGGUGCUGUAAGCU